CACCACUGCCAACUGUUCCAGGAACAAGCAGCGAGGCGCUCGCUCUGCCUGCGUUGGCCUUGACGGAAACAGCUGCAAGCACAGCGCUCAGCAAGAGCGGUACUCGUAGUCUUCCCCUUUUUUGUCUUUGUUUGGCUGCAGCCCAUGCCUGCCAGCGGCAGCAGCGACAGUGUGGCCGACAUGAUGGCCAAGGCGGUUACGAGCUCUGGCGACUUCUACGGUGGGCGCGACGGGGUGCAAGGCAUCCAAGACCGCAAGGACGCCGUUCGAGAGAAGCGCCGCGAGCAGAAGAACACGCUCUCGCAGUGGUACGGCAUGAAGAAGAGGCCGCUCAGUGAGGACCAGAAGCAGGAGAUUGAGCUGCUCAAGUACCGCAACUUUGUGGACCCAGAGCGUCAGCACCAAGCACCCAAGAAGGCAGCCGGCGUAGGGGAGAGCGAGUUCAUGGAGUUCGGCUACUUUGCCGAUGUGGGGCGCAACAAGCGUCGUCGCUACAAGUCCUUCGCGGAUGAGUGGAUUGAGGAGAACCCGCAGUUCGAGGAGGUGGUCGCCACGCGUAUCAAGCGCAACACGAAGGUGAAUCAAAAGUCGAGGGCGGCCGCCGCGAAGAAGGCGGCGGUAGAGGCGGCCAAGGCGAAGGAGAAGCGUGCCUCGAAGCGCAAGUCCAAGCACGACGUGUUCUAAGCGUCAGAUGAGGGAAUGGGGGGUGGUGGUGCUGGAUGGGCCGGGGUAGAGAAGCACACUGCCGUGGGCGCAUGCGCCCUUUUUGCCAUGUGCUCUUGUGGUGUGUAUGUGCAUAGCGCCGCCGCCGCCGUCUCCCUUCUUUCCCUACCGUGACUGCGUUGGCGUGUUCCGCGCUUGCGCGGAUGUGCUGUUGCUUUAUGGACUCCCUGAAAGGGGGCCAGUCAUGCCGGUACUGCGGUAUUCGGCGCGAUGGACACCGAUCUGCCGCCGCUGCUGCUGCUGCUUCUUACCUCUUGCAGUCGUGAGCGUCGCUGAUGAUGCCGGCGCCGCGCCGGAGCGUUGUCAUUAUGCUCGCCUGUGUGUGCGCAGUGGAGAUAUUGUCUUUCCCUCUCUCUGCACGUGUGCGUGUGUGUGGAUGUGGAGGAGGGAGGAGCGGCCUUGUCCAGCAUGUGUGCGCCGUCUUCUUAUGUUUGCGGCUGCUGGCCUUCUGCUCUCCGCCGAGUGGGCAACGGAUGCGAGUGUGCGUGCACGCGUGCGCAUCUGUCUAUGGGCAAGUCAGUGAGCACACAAAAAAAUGCACACGCUCCGCCGCCAUUCAUGAAGCCGCGCAUGCGAGCCCUUCACACGAUCGCCGCACCCUCGCUGUCUCCCGCACCUCUUCUCUGAGGUUGUUCCCUUCCUUUCGUUUUGUUGUCUCUCGUAAGCUGCCGUAUCGUGCAACGACGUAACCGAAAAGAACAAAAAAUGAAGCGAAAGAAGGGCUCAGCAGCAGGCCAUUGUGGCAUGGCAAGCGUACGCGCAGGGCCGCAUGCUACCCCUUUUCUCCUUGUGC
This 1516-nucleotide unclassified non-coding RNA is filed under the name Leishmania donovani. RNAcentral describes it as "gene:LdHU3.25.0450(CDS-product:Fcf2_pre-rRNA_proc essing_putative)". Lineage: Eukaryota; Euglenozoa; Kinetoplastea; Trypanosomatida; Trypanosomatidae. The record is from RNAcentral.